Molecule: long non-coding RNA, 658 nt
Filed under: Homo sapiens (human)
Lineage: Eukaryota; Metazoa; Chordata; Mammalia; Primates; Hominidae
Description: HSALNT0301532
Source: RNAcentral
CCAGAUCAAUAAAUGUCCACAGGACAAAAGCAGUGCCAACUGUGGGGCUCACCUUCCUGGAUUCCUGUCUUCUUCCUAGAUCUUGGUCCGAUGAAUUAUGUAUCUGAAAUGGCUGGCAACCUCAGCUGCAGGACACUUUGAGGAGACGGCUGAUUGCAGAUCUAGGGCAGAGAAUGAAUAAGUGAAACAACCUAGUGAGAUCCAGUACAGCUUCCAACUUAUAUUAGACCAACUUUCCUCCCUAUGACAUUAAUAGCUGGGGUAUGGAGCUGUCAGAGUGACACGUAAACUCCAAUCAGAUCACCAAGUGGCCUCAGAAAUGCACACAUACAAGAGUCCCUCUGUCAGUUCUGAGACACCUGAAGCUAGGAGUGGAGUGAAACCAGCACCCCUGAGGACACCACCACUAUGACUGUGCUCAGCCAGACUUGAAGCCAGCACAACACUGGGUCUUCCCUGCUGUAACCACUCCCUGGCCACUGCCUAUGUUUGCUCAAGGCCUUGGGGCUCUACAAUAAACAGGUGGAAAAGCCAUCCAGGUCUGUGCCCUUCCCUUCAGGGUGGCAAGUUCCCCCAAGCCCCAGGUGGGUCCAGAGAUGUUGUCUAGGAGUCAGGGACUAGAGUAAAAAACCUUUGAAGUCUACCUGGCAUUCUAUUG